This is a long non-coding RNA of Ictalurus punctatus (channel catfish), 3062 nucleotides long. The record is from Ensembl. NCBI's taxonomy places the organism in Eukaryota, Metazoa, Chordata, Actinopteri, Siluriformes, Ictaluridae.
UGCAUAUAACAUAUGUGGGGGCAGGGGUGGCUUAACGGUUAAGGCUCUUGGUUUCUGAUCGGAAGGUUGGGGGUGCAAGGCCCUUAACCCUCUCUGCUCCAGGGGCACCGUAUCACAGCUGACCCUGUGCUCCGACCCCAGCUUCCUGACAUGCUGGGGUAUGCGAAGAAAACAAUUUCACUGUGCAUAUGUAUAUGUGAUCAAUAAAGACUCAUUACCAUUAUCAUUAAUGUAUUAGUCAUAUAUCUUCAUGUCCUCUUAUGAUUGCAAGUUUGAGUGAGUCACUCGUAAUAGAUCUUCAUGAUCAUGGAAAAGCUUUGUUUAUCUCUGCCAAACACAGACAACCCCAUUAUUUGCAUGGCAGUACAAGUUGAAAAAAAUUGUACAUUCACAUUUAAAAAAAAAAAAAAAAGGAAUGUUCUUAUCCAGACACGUAGGCAAGCCUAUGCCAUUAUGGAAAGUAGCUGAAUGUGCUUCAAAAUGAACACACAGUAUUUAUUUAGUGUUUAUUUAGUCAAUCGGAGCAUCCCGUAUGUUUUUACGCUCUGAAAUGCAUUAAAUGUUUGUAUUAUUAGAGCAACGGAUCGCCUUCACCUACCUAAUCUUAUAUUUGGUACAGCUAUAAGUCACCUCCAAGUAUUUGGAGACACCUACGCAAGGAUCAGAGAAAACCUCAGUUGAAGCUCUUAGCUUGCAAGACUUCUUCCCACUGCACCUGCAUUCAAUUAGCAUCAAAGAAAUCUUUUUCUUCUUCUUUUUUUCUUUUUACUAAUGUGAUAGAACAUUCCAUUUCCUGUUGUUUGAAGAAGCUUUGAUUACCUGGAGCGUACGUUAUAGGUCUGGGGGUAGAAACAGAUUUAUUUGCUAAGAGUGAAACGCAUGUUGGACGAUCCCUCCUACCAUAGUUGGCAUGAUGGGUGAAAAUUAGCCCCGUGUCUUUUGUACAAAACACAUUUUAUCCUCCUGAGACUUCACCCAUUGACCUGUGUCCUCUAUAGUGGACUUAUUGUUUUCAUGCAUGUCCUUUUACUUUUUUGAGCUACUCUAGCAAUUCCUGCUGUACUAUACAGAGAACAUCCAGGGAUUUCUAGUGAUAUGUCAUGUUAUAGUCUGAGAUGCUAGGAACAACUUCUUACACUGUGUGUAUAUAUAUACACUGUACAUAUGUAUGUGUGUGUGUGUAUGUAUGUAUAUAUAUAUAUGUAUGUAUAUGUAUAUAAGUGCAGACCAUAUACAUCCAAAAUGGCCGGCAUAGGAACAGGAACAUUUUAUGGAAAGAAGAAUGAUAACUAAAAUAUUGUAAGUGUCAGAAAUAAUAAAUUUAGUUCUGAAAGCAGUUAAAUUGUUUCAUUCAAAAUAUUAGCUUUUUUAUGAAUGUCAGUUAUAGUGGACACCAGGACCAUCUUAAUGUACUUAACACACACACACACACACACACACACACACACACACACACACACUAUUCACUACAACCUGUGAUAAAUCAUCAGUGACAAAUAUAAUUUAUCAAUGAGGCUUGAAGAUUAUCCACGUGGUAUCAUGAAAUCUGCAAACUGGAUAAAGAAUGCAAAGUUUGUACUUUUUAUUUUGACAAAUUGUAUCAACAGAAAGUGCCCUUCACUAAUAUUGGCACCCUUGGUAAAUAUGAGCAAAGAAGGCUGUGAAAAAUUAUUUUAUGUUUAACCUUUUGAUCUUUUGUUAAAAAAAGAAAUCACAAAAAUACACUGCUCUCAUGGAUAGCAAACAAUUGCAAAAAAAAACAAAAAAACGGGUUUAUAAAAUAAUUAAUCAGGGAUUAAUAUUAAACAGGGAUAUAUAUAUAUAUAUAUGUAUUAACACAUAGGACAAAUUCCCUUAGUCAUUCAUAACAAUGGGUAAGACCAAGGAAUAUAGCUGUGAUGUGCGGCAAAAGGUUGUUGAGCUUCACAAAUGGGGCGUGGCUAUAAGAAAAUAGCGCAAGCAUUGAAAACGCCCAUUUCCACCAUCAGGGCAAUAAUUACGAAGUUCCAGUCAACUGGAAAUGUUAUGAAUCGACCUGGAAUUGGACGUGUGUCUAUAUCAUCUCAACACACUGUGAAGAGGACGGUUCGAGUGACCAAAAAAAUCUCCAAGGAUCACAGCUGGAGAAUUGCAGAUGUUAGUUGUGUCUUGGGGUCAGAAAGUCUCCAAAACUACAAUCUGAAGUCACCUACAUCACCACAAGCUGUUUGGAAGGGUUUCAAGAAAAAAGCCUCUACUCUCAUCCAAAAACAAACUCGAGUGUGUUCAGUGUGCCAGACACUACUGGAACUUCAAAUGGGAUCGGGUUCUAUGGUCAGAUGAAACCAAAAUAGAGCUUUUUGGUAAUAAACACAGAGGUGGUUUUGGUGCACACAGAAAGGUAGCCAUAUGGAAAAGUACCUCAUGCCCACGGUUAAAUAUGGUGGUGGAUCUUUAAUGUUUUAGGGCUGUUUUUCUGCCAGAGGACCUGGACAUUUUGUUAGGAUACAUGGCAUCAUGGACUCCAUCAAAUAUCAACAGAUAUUAAAUGAAAACCUGACUGCCUCUGCCAGAAAGCUUCAAACGGGCCGUGGUUGGAUCUUCCAGCAGGACAAUGAUCCAAAACAUCAUCAACAUCAACACAGAAAUGGUUUACUGACCACAAAUUCAAGGUCCUGCCCUGACCAUCCCAGUCCUCUGACCUGAACCCCAUAGAAACCCUGUGGGGUGAACUGAAGAGGAGAGUCCACCAGCGUGGACCUCGAAAUGUGAAGGAUCUGGAGAGAUUCUGUAUGGAGGAACGCUCUCAGAUCCCUCGCCAUGGAUUCUCCAACCUCAUCAGGCAUUAGAGGAGAAGACUCAGAGCUGUUAUCUUGGCAAAGAGAGCUAGCACAAAGUAUUGACUAAAAUUGUGCCAAUAAUUGUUGCACAUAUGACUAUGCAUUAAAUUUUAAUUAAAAAAUAUGCUAUCAUCUUUGCAAUAACAAGCAAGAGAAACAAUUCAGAAUGAUCAUUUAUUUUUGUUUUGUUUUUUAAGUUGAAUUUAUUCUUCGAUUAAUAUCACUCUACAGCCAUAAUCUGUU